RNAcentral lists this ribosomal RNA (64 nucleotides) under Diaphorina citri (Asian citrus psyllid). The record is from RNAcentral. Lineage: Eukaryota; Metazoa; Arthropoda; Insecta; Hemiptera; Psyllidae.
GCCAGUAGCAAUAGCGUAUUGAACACACCAGUUCCCAAUGGAUCACUGAAGUUAAGCAACAUUG